UACGUAGGGGGCGAGCGUUGUCCGGAAUUAUUGGGCGUAAAGAGCUUGUAGGCGGUUUGUCGCGUCUGCUGUGAAAAUCCGGGGCUCAACCCCGGACUUGCAGUGGGUACGGGCAGACUAGAGUGUGGUAGGGGAGACUGGAAUUCCUGGUGUAGCGGUGGAAUGCGCAGAUAUCAGGAGGAAAACCGAUGGCGAAGGCAGGUCUCUGGGCACCUACUGACGCUGAGAAGCGAAAGCGUGGGGAGCGAACAGG
RNAcentral lists this ribosomal RNA (253 nucleotides) under uncultured bacterium. RNAcentral's name for it is "partial 16S ribosomal RNA". It matches the Rfam family "Bacterial small subunit ribosomal RNA", at positions 524 to 776 of the family's 1533-position model. The record is from RNAcentral.